GACGAACGCUGGCGGCGUGCUUAACACAUGCAAGUCGAACGGAAAGGCCCUGCUUUUGUGGGGUGCUCGAGUGGCGAACGGGUGAGUAACACGUGAGUAACCUGCCCUUGACUUUGGGAUAACUUCAGGAAACUGGGGCUAAUACCGGAUAGGAGCUCCUGCUGCAUGGUGGGGGUUGGAAAGUUUCGGCGGUUGGGGAUGGACUCGCGGCUUAUCAGCUUGUUGGUGGGGUAGUGGCUUACCAAGGCUUUGACGGGUAGCCGGCCUGAGAGGGUGACCGGCCACAUUGGGACUGAGAUACGGCCCAGACUCCUCCGGGAGGCAGCAGUGGGGAAUAUUGCACAAUGGGCGGGAGCCUGAUGCAGCAACGCCGCGUGCGGGAUGACGGCCUUCGGUUUGUAAACCGCUUUCGCCUGUGACGAAGCGUGAGUGACGGUAAUGGGUAAAGAAGCACCGGCUAACUACGUG
This 468-nucleotide ribosomal RNA is filed under the name uncultured bacterium. RNAcentral describes it as "partial 16S ribosomal RNA". It matches the Rfam family "Bacterial small subunit ribosomal RNA", at positions 28 to 507 of the family's 1533-position model. The record is from RNAcentral.